This 73-nucleotide transfer RNA is filed under the name Alistipes sp. RNAcentral's name for it is "tRNA-Gly". It matches the Rfam family "tRNA". Rfam says of the family: Transfer RNA (tRNA) molecules are approximately 80 nucleotides in length. Their secondary structure includes four short double-helical elements and three loops (D, anti-codon, and T loops). Further hydrogen bonds mediate the characteristic L-shaped molecular structure. tRNAs have two regions of fundamental functional importance: the anti-codon, which is responsible for specific mRNA codon recognition, and the 3' end, to which the tRNAs corresponding amino acid is attached (by aminoacyl-tRNA synthetases). tRNAs cope with the degeneracy of the genetic code in two manners: having more than one tRNA (with a specific anti-codon) for a particular amino acid; and 'wobble' base-pairing, i.e. permitting non-standard base-pairing at the 3rd anti-codon position. RNAcentral also lists the same sequence under 1 other name. Lineage: Bacteria; Pseudomonadati; Bacteroidota; Bacteroidia; Bacteroidales; Rikenellaceae. The record is from RNAcentral.
GCGGUAGUAGCUCAGUUGGUAGAGCAUCGGCUUCCCAAGCCGAGGGUCGCGGGUUCGAGUCCCGUCUACCGCU